AACAUCCUGUCAUGCUCAUUUAUUUAUCAAAUAAAACAGUUGCAUAAUACGCAGCGGAUACAAAACAUCAACAUUCAAAGCAUGUACUACAUUACAUGUAAAGUUGAUCAACAACUAAAUUAAAACAUGGUCAAACAUCCCCUCCCGAUGUUACAUCUACCAGAGCAUGACCCACUAAGGACGACACUAGACUCCAUAGCACUAGCUUCUACUCAACUCA
This 220-nucleotide long non-coding RNA is filed under the name Lathyrus oleraceus (garden pea). RNAcentral describes it as "Pisum sativum (pea) long non-coding RNA (PSAT_LNC027021)". Lineage: Eukaryota; Viridiplantae; Streptophyta; Magnoliopsida; Fabales; Fabaceae. The record is from RNAcentral.